CCCUUAGAUGUUCUGGGCCGCACGCGCGCUACACUGAUGCAUUCAACGAGUUUCUUCCUGGUCCGAGAGGAAUGGGUAACCUUUUGAAAGUGCAUCGUGAUAGGGAUAGACUAUUGCAAUUAUUGGUCUUCAACGAGGAAUUCCUAGUAGACGUAGUUCAUCAGACUGCAUCGAUUACGUCCCUGCCCUUUGUACACACCGCCCGUCGCUCCUACCGAUUGAAUGCUCAGGUGAGCCAUUCGGACUUUCAUCAUGCUGGUUUCCAGUUUUGAUGAAGGAAAGUCUUGCUAACCUUAUCAUUUAGAGGAAGGAGAAGUCGUAACA
This 324-nucleotide ribosomal RNA is filed under the name uncultured eukaryote. Its description in RNAcentral is "partial 18S ribosomal RNA". It matches the Rfam family "Eukaryotic small subunit ribosomal RNA", at positions 1470 to 1796 of the family's 1831-position model. The record is from RNAcentral.